Thoreauomyces humboldtii is the source of this 72-nucleotide non-coding RNA. The record is from the annotation of a GenBank genome assembly. Lineage: Eukaryota; Fungi; Chytridiomycota; Chytridiomycetes; Spizellomycetales; Powellomycetaceae.
UCCUCAUUGGUCCAGUGGUUAGGAUCUGCCGCUCUCACCGGCAUGGCCAGGGUUCGAUUCCCUGAUGGGGAA